AUUGAACGCUGGCGGCAGGCCUAACACAUGCAAGUCGAGCGGGGUUUUCGGACCUAGCGGCGGACGGGUGAGUAAUGCGUAGGAAGCUACCCGGUAGAGGGGGAUACCAGUUGGAAACGACUGUUAAUACCGCAUAAUGUCUACGGACCAAAGUGUGGGACCUUCGGGCCACAUGCUAUCGGAUGCGCCUACGUGGGAUUAGCUAGUUGGUGGGGUAAUGGCUCACCAAGGCGACGAUCCCUAGCUGGUUUGAGAGGAUGAUCAGCCACACUGGAACUGAGACACGGUCCAGACUCCUACGGGAGGCAGCAGUGGGGAAUAUUGGACAAUGGGCGCAAGCCUGAUCCAGCCAUGCCGCGUGUGUGAAGAAGGCCUUCGGGUUGUAAAGUACUUUCAGUAGGGAGGAAGGGUGUUGUGUUAAUAGCACAGCAUUUUGACGUUACCUACAGAAGAAGCACCGGCUAACUCUGUGCCAGCCGCCGCGGUAA
This 488-nucleotide ribosomal RNA is filed under the name uncultured bacterium. RNAcentral describes it as "partial 16S ribosomal RNA". It matches the Rfam family "Bacterial small subunit ribosomal RNA", at positions 30 to 523 of the family's 1533-position model. The record is from RNAcentral.